GAGUUUGAUCAUGGCUCAGGAUGAACGCUGGCGGCGUGCUUAACACAUGCAAGUCGAACGAUGAAGCCCAGCUUGCUGGGUGGAUUAGUGGCGAACGGGUGAGUAACACGUGAGUAACCUGCCCUUAACUCUGGGAUAAGCCUGGGAAACUGGGUCUAAUACCGGAUAGGAGCGUCCACCGCAUGGUGGGUGUUGGAAAGAUUUAUCGGUUUUGGAUGGACUCGCGGCCUAUCAGCUUGUUGGUGAGGUAAUGGCUCACCAAGGCGACGACGGGUAGCUGGCCUGAGAGGGUGACCGCCCACAGGGGGACUGAGACACGGCCCAGACUCCUACGGGAGGCAGCAGUGGGGAAUAUUGCACAAUGGGCGAAAGCGUGAUGCAGCGGCUCAGAGUUAGGGAUGACGGCCUUCGGGUUGUAAACCUCUUUCAGUAGGGAAGAAGCGAAAGUGACGGUACCUGCAGAAGAAGCACCGGCUAACUACGUGCCAGCAGCCGCGGUAAUACGUAGGGUGCGAGCGUUAUCCGGAAUUAUUGGGCGUAAAGAGCUCGUAGGCGGUUUGUCGCGUCUGUCGUGAAAGUCCGGGGCUUAACCCCGGAUCUGCGGUGGGUACGGGCAGACUAGAGUGCAGUAGGGGAGUCCCGAAUUCGUCCAGAGUCGGAUGAAGGCUCAGGAUUAGAUACCCUGGAGUCCAGAGUUGAUCCGGCUCAGAUUGAUACCCGAGCCAGAGGGCAA
RNAcentral lists this ribosomal RNA (733 nucleotides) under Micrococcus sp. RNAcentral describes it as "bacterial SSU rRNA". It matches the Rfam family "Bacterial small subunit ribosomal RNA", at positions 9 to 756 of the family's 1533-position model. Lineage: Bacteria; Bacillati; Actinomycetota; Actinomycetes; Micrococcales; Micrococcaceae. The record is from RNAcentral.